UCCUACGGGACGCAGCAGUGGGGAAUAUUGCACAAUGGGGGAAACCCUGAUGCAGCAACGCCGCGUGAGUGAGGAAGUAUUUCGGUAUGUAAAGCUCUAUCAGCAGGGAAUAGAAAAGAAGGUACCUGAAAAAGAAGCCCCGGCUAACUACGUGCCAGCAGCCGCGGUAAUACGUAGGUGGCAAGCGUUAUCCGGAAUUACUGGGUGUAAAGGGUGUGUAGGCGGGGCUGCAAGUCAGAU
RNAcentral lists this ribosomal RNA (240 nucleotides) under uncultured bacterium. RNAcentral's name for it is "partial 16S ribosomal RNA". It matches the Rfam family "Bacterial small subunit ribosomal RNA", at positions 337 to 593 of the family's 1533-position model. The record is from RNAcentral.